UGCAAGUCGACGCGAACGAGUUCUUCGGAACUUUAGUAGAGUGGCGCACGGGUGAGUAACGCGUAAGUAAUCUACCCUCGCAUCUGGGAUAACCCACCGAAAGGUGUGCUAAUACCGGAUACGUCUAAGUUAAUAUCUUUUUUUUAGAGAAAGGUGGCCUCUGAUUCAAGCUACUGUGCGGGGAGGAGCUUGCGUACCAUUAGCUAGUUGGUAGGGUAACGGCCUACCAAGGCGACGAUGGUUAGCGGGUCUGAGAGGAUGAUCCGCCACACUGGAACUGAAACACGGACCAGACUCCUACGGGAGGCAGCAGUGAGGAAUAUUGCGCAAUGGGGGCAACCCUGACGCAGCGACGCCGCGUGGAUGAUGAAAGCCUUCGGGUUGUAAAAUCCUGUCAGAUGGGGAAGAAGUGCUAUAUGGUUAAUAUCUGUAUAGUUUGACGGUACCAUCAAAAGAAGCACCGGCUAACUUCCGUGCCAGCAGCCGCGGUAAUACG
RNAcentral lists this ribosomal RNA (496 nucleotides) under uncultured bacterium. RNAcentral's name for it is "bacterial SSU rRNA". It matches the Rfam family "Bacterial small subunit ribosomal RNA", at positions 56 to 527 of the family's 1533-position model. The record is from RNAcentral.